Phyllostomus discolor (pale spear-nosed bat) is the source of this 1655-nucleotide long non-coding RNA. RefSeq lists it as uncharacterized. The record is from RefSeq and is a predicted model, not a curated record. NCBI's taxonomy places the organism in Eukaryota, Metazoa, Chordata, Mammalia, Chiroptera, Phyllostomidae. The transcript has 2 exons.
UUGUGUAUUUAAUGUAUGGCCUAAGACAACUCUUCUUCCAUUGUGACCCAGAAAUGCCAAAAGGUUGGACACCCCUGCUAGAGCAUCCUUUCUUAAUGUUCCCCAAGAGUUGUUCCCUCACCCUUCUCUUCUGUUAAUCUCUUCUAGAACUUCACAAUUUGCUGUCUUGGUCCUUAUAGCACUGACUAAAAAAUUAUGUCCAUUUUUAGCCCUGGCCAGAUAGCUCAGUUAGUUAGAGCAUCCUUCCAUAUAUCAAAAAGUUUCAGGUUCAGUCCCCAGUCAGGACACAUACCUAAGUUUGAUCACAGGUUGGGGUGCCUAUAGGAGGCAAUCGAUUGGUGUUUCUCUCUCACAUUGAUAUUUUUUUCUCUCUCUCCCUUCUGCUCUUUCUAAAAUCAAUAAAAAUAUAUCUUCAGGUGAUGAUUAAAAAAAAAGAUAUGUCCAUUUUUACUCCCUCCUUCUCAAUCCCCACCAGCAUUCCUUAGAACCAAUUUAUAUCCCAUCCCCAGUACUCAGGAUCCUUUUACACUAAGCCAUUUUCUCCCUUGCAUCUAAUGUUUCUAGCUCUUCUCAGCCUUCCUAGACUAAGCAAGGGGAUGGUGUUCCCAGCUCUUGUCCUGAGGUGGGCUCUCAUGUUGUUUGAAGGACAAAUGCUCUAUGAAGACCUGACUGUAUUUUUCUCAAGAGAAAAGUGUGAGUCUGCAACCUGCCCAGGUGUCCCUCAGCAGAGACACCACCCAGGAGUGUUUUGAGGGUAAGGCCUUAAUGGGAGGGUAAGGCAAGAUUGAGAAUAAACAGCAACUAAGUCUUGAAACUAUAGGACUUGAAGAGCUUGCCCUAGAAUACUCCUCCACUGCUGUGCCUUUUGAAAGGAAAAUAUCAGGUGGAACUUCUGCUUUCAAGAAAAAUGUCAUAAGCCUUUCAGUUACCAUUGAAAACUAUACCCCAUUAAUAGAACUAUCUCAGUGUUAGAUACCAGAGCACUUUGUGAAAUUCUUGAAUUUCCCAGGGAAGAAGCCAGAAAUUUGUACAAGUGUUCUGAAAUCAACCAAAGCUUCUGUGAAAAUUUAUACUUUGUUUUGCAUCAGAAAACUCACUCAGGAGAGAAAAUGUAUAAAUGUGAUGCCUAUGGGAAGAUUUUCAGUCAUAGACCAAAUCUGAGUAUGCAGAGAAGAAUCCAUAUUGGCGAGAAGGGCCUUACAGUUGUGCAGAGUGCAGGAGCAGCUUCCACCAGCACUCACAUCUGACUCAGCACAUGCAUGUCCACGUAAAGGAGAAACCCUACACAUGUGGCAUAUGUGGAAGAGGUUUUUUGUGGCUCCUGGCAUUAGCACAGCAUCCAAAAACCCAUGCUAACAAAAACAACAACAAGAAAAAGCCUGUGAAUGUACCAACUCUGGUAAAUAUUUUGGUCAGAAAACAAAUCUUGCUUUGCAUGAGAAGAUGCACACAUCAGCCACCUAGUCUCAGUAUAUUCGGUGCAUGAAAUGCUUGAGGCAGCCUCACUUCUUGUCCUCCCUGAAAAGGGCCACAAGGAUGACUCUGAACACUGCAGAGAUUGUGGGGAAAAUUUGUUUUUGUUCUCACAAUUCAAACUCUUAAAAAUAUCUUGAAUGUGCAAUGAGCUUUCUUCAUAUCUGAGUUUAUUUCUUUUU